CUGGGCCCCGCCUGGGCCUCAAGUGUGGCCUCCGAACCCUCCAGUUGGGGUGGCCCGGGUCAGGGUAGCUGCUGAGCCCAGAGCAGGAAGUUUGUGAAUUGACUCACGCAGAGGCAGCUCCGCCCAAAUGGGGAAAAGGGAAGUGAAAGUAUCUCUCAGUUGCUGGGCAGACAGACUUGUGGCAGCAGGAACAAAGGAGUGACAGUCAGGGCCUGGAGGAGCAGGGCCAGCCCCCUGGAGGGGGGCCACUUCGGUGUGCAAAGACACAGAAAUAUCUAUGUGUCCAUAAGUGUUUCUGUCCUUCUAUCUGAGGUUUCCGAGGGUAAUAGGGGUAGGGAGAGGGGAGCUGUGUGUUUGCCACCUUUCCCUCGCCAACGAGGCUGUGGGGGGGGGACAGAGGGAGAGACAGAAACUUAAAAUCUCCCUUCCUGCGGGAGAGCCUGGACCCCGACCAGGGAGAAGGAGACACGUGGAGAGAAGUCGCUGGAAUGCUGACCGGCACAGGCUUCCCUUGGAUGCAGAUGGAGAUUGGAACCGAGAUGAUCUGGAAGCAAAUACAUGGGCAGGCGAGCCCCGCUGGGAGGGUGACCCUCUGCCUCGGAGUCCUGUCUGUUCACAGAUUUCUCAUUCGGAUUUGGAGUCAUCAUUCCACAAAGCAUGAGACUUAAUUACAUUUGAAACUGCAGGGGAAAGAGGUUUCUACCCUCUUUCUGUGGAUGUUCUGUCUUCCCCGCAGAGGGGUGAACAUCAGUCUGGUUGGGAUUCUAGGAUGCUUCUAAGGACGUCUUUAACCACGAGCAGGGUCUCUGUGUGCACCAGGUGCUGCACGCUUGUGGAUCUCGUCCCCUCUCCCUCUCUCACUCACUCUCAGGGGUACAAGGACUAGUAAGUUGAGCUACUGUUGGGCACAACUGUCCUCUGCUUCUUGCCUCCAUAGGACAUGUGGCCCAGACAAGGCCUGACACAGACGACACGACUUUUCUAGCGUCCCCUGUCUCUGUCCCUGGGCAGCAGGCUGACCCAGGCGACCACUGUGCCGGGUGUUGGCAUAAACAUGCCAGCUUUUCUGUGGCUCUGCUUAGGGUCGCUGAGAUGAGCACUUGGAAUAGAGGCCACCGAGCAGCUAGCCAGUGGGGUAGGGAGAUCCACAGGUGGCCCUCGUGGGACUGACAGUGACACCUGGGGCUGGUCCUGGCCUGGAAGGAGGGAAGGGGCUGCCCCCGUGGGGCCAGGGGGAGCUGGACACGCAUCACCUCUGUAAGAGCAGCAGUGGUUCCUGAGGAAUCUGGAGGCCUCUGUAAAGAAAGCAAAGUUUCUGUGAUCCAGAAAAAGCCAGACCCGCCAGGUUAGGAUAGGGACAGGACCAGCUUGAGGAGCAGAUUUCACUCCUGAAAAUCCUCCUGGACUCAUUUGAAGGAAACAAGGAAGCGCCUGGGGCACUUUUUGCAGCUUCAAGGAACACUGACACCAGGGCCACCGUCACUGUUCCGGAAGAAGCACAAGUGCUCGACCUGGAGGCCUGGAAAGCCGGAGAAGCCACACUGAGGAGGAACCACAGGGCAAAGAAGCCACCAAGGGGACGGGCUCAGUAAGUGUCACCAGGAGCAGAUUCUGUUCAGACUUUGAAGGUGGGUCCAAGUCUCCAAUCUGGGAGACCCCUG
This 1661-nucleotide long non-coding RNA is filed under the name Felis catus (domestic cat). RNAcentral's name for it is "lncRNA (ENSFCAG00000051929.1)". Lineage: Eukaryota; Metazoa; Chordata; Mammalia; Carnivora; Felidae. The record is from RNAcentral.